GUUUUAAUAAUUUAAUAAAAAUAUUGGUCUUGUAAACCAGAAAUAAGACUAUCCUUUUAAAACU
This 64-nucleotide transfer RNA is filed under the name Curculionidae sp. 1 AH-2016. RNAcentral describes it as "tRNA-Thr". It matches the Rfam family "tRNA". Rfam says of the family: Transfer RNA (tRNA) molecules are approximately 80 nucleotides in length. Their secondary structure includes four short double-helical elements and three loops (D, anti-codon, and T loops). Further hydrogen bonds mediate the characteristic L-shaped molecular structure. tRNAs have two regions of fundamental functional importance: the anti-codon, which is responsible for specific mRNA codon recognition, and the 3' end, to which the tRNAs corresponding amino acid is attached (by aminoacyl-tRNA synthetases). tRNAs cope with the degeneracy of the genetic code in two manners: having more than one tRNA (with a specific anti-codon) for a particular amino acid; and 'wobble' base-pairing, i.e. permitting non-standard base-pairing at the 3rd anti-codon position. The record is from RNAcentral. Lineage: Eukaryota; Metazoa; Arthropoda; Insecta; Coleoptera; Curculionidae.